This 572-nucleotide ribosomal RNA is filed under the name uncultured bacterium. Its description in RNAcentral is "bacterial SSU rRNA". It matches the Rfam family "Bacterial small subunit ribosomal RNA", at positions 1 to 580 of the family's 1533-position model. The record is from RNAcentral.
CCCUUAGAGUUUGAUCCUGGCUCAGGACGAACGCUGGCGGCGUGCCUAACACAUGCAAGUCGAACGGGACCGGGGGCAACUUCGGUUCAGUGGCGGACGGGUGCGUAACACGUGAGGAACAUGACCUUCGGCGGGGGAUAGCCGGCCCAACGGCCGGGUAAUACCGCGUACGACCUUUCGGGGACAUCCCUGGAUGGUGAAAGCAGCAAUGCGCCGAUGGAGUGCCUCGCGGCCUAUCAGCUAGUUGGUGGGGUAACGGCCUACCAAGGCAACGACGGGUAGCUGGUCUGAGAGGAUGGCCAGCCACAUUGGGACUGAGACACGGCCCAGACUCCUACGGGAGGCAGCAGUGGGGAAUAUUGCGCAAUGGACGAAAGUCUGACGCAGCGACGCCGCGUGUGGGAUGACGGUCUUCGGAUUGUAAACCACUGUCGGGAGGGACGAAUACGCCGCAAGGCGGGUGACGGUACCUCCAAAGGAAGCACCGGCUAACUCCGUGCCAGCAGCCGCGGUAAUACGGAGGGUGCGAGCGUUGUCCGGAAUCACUGGGCGUAAAGGGCGCGUAGGCGGCC